CUGCAAUGAUGGCACUAUUUUCACCUCCUGUGUGUUGAUAUUUUGGGUCUGAGUGA
Molecule: small nucleolar RNA, 56 nt
Filed under: Suricata suricatta (meerkat)
Lineage: Eukaryota; Metazoa; Chordata; Mammalia; Carnivora; Herpestidae
Description: Small nucleolar RNA SNORD56 (ENSSSUG00005007145.1)
Rfam family: Small nucleolar RNA SNORD56
About the family: U56 belongs to the C/D class of snoRNA which contain the C (UGAUGA) and D (CUGA) box motifs.
Source: Rfam by way of RNAcentral